CCGAGACUGGAAUCCCCUUGGCUCCUUUCUCCUUGCCCAGCUUUGCCUGCUUAGUGCUCAGACGGUCGGUCUCUGAGCAAGAGCACAGAGGAUGACAGAUGGCGGCUGAGAGCUGACAGGGAUGGCCCCAGCUGUACCAGAAUGUCUGUGACCUUCAAGGACGAAACUGUGGACUUCACCCAGGAAGAGUGGGCCUUGCCUGACAAAGGAAGCUGUACGGAGAUGUGAUGUUGGAGGACAUCAGGUUGAGACAUUAGAGGACCUGUUGGCAUCCGGGACUAUGGCUCCAUGAAGUAGAGGGACGAAGGGAUCUGGGCAAGAGAUUAAUUUGGGUGCUGGGGGCCAAGUACAGGACGCUGGGGGCGGGGUAUCUUAUAGGAUUGGAGAUUGAGGGUCUGUGGAGUCUGUGAUUUGACGAUAUUAAAGAAUUAACUGGGGUCAGCUCCACCUAAUGGCUUUAGAAAAUUGUUCAGAAGGAGAGGGAUGGAGGGAAAAGGAAAAAAUAAGAGGAGAGAAGAUGAAGGGAACCU
Molecule: long non-coding RNA, 530 nt
Filed under: Equus caballus (horse)
Lineage: Eukaryota; Metazoa; Chordata; Mammalia; Perissodactyla; Equidae
Description: lncRNA (ENSECAG00000046680.1)
Source: RNAcentral